This 251-nucleotide ribosomal RNA is filed under the name uncultured prokaryote. Its description in RNAcentral is "partial 16S ribosomal RNA". It matches the Rfam family "Bacterial small subunit ribosomal RNA", at positions 525 to 775 of the family's 1533-position model. The record is from RNAcentral.
ACGUAGGGGGCAAGCGUUGAUCGGAAUCACUGGGCUUACAGCGCGUGUAGGCGGGGCGGCAGGUCUUCUGUGAAAGCCCCCGGCUCAACCGGGGAACAGCGGGGCGAACUUCGGGUCUUGAGGCAGGUAGGGGCGGAUUGAACUGUCGGUGGAGCGGUGGAAUGCGUAGAGAUCCGGAGGAACACCAGAGGCGAAGGCGACACCCUGGGCCGUACCUGACGCUAAGACGCGACAGCACGGGGAGCGAACGG